CAGCACCUCAAGUGGUCAGGAUGAUUAUUGGGCCUAAAGCAUCCGUAGCCGGUUCUACAAGUCUUCCGUUAAAUCCACCUGCUUAACAGAUGGGCCGCGGAGGAUACUAUAAGACUAGGAGGCAGGAGAGGCAAGCGGUACUCAGUGGGUAGGGGUAAAAUCCGUUGAUCCAUUGAAGACCACCAGUGGCGAAGGCGGCUUGCCAGAAUGCGCUCGACGGUGAGGGAUGAAAGCUGGGGGAGCAAACCGGAUUAGAUACCCGUGUAGUCC
Molecule: ribosomal RNA, 270 nt
Filed under: uncultured archaeon
Lineage: Archaea
Description: partial 16S ribosomal RNA
Rfam family: Archaeal small subunit ribosomal RNA
Source: RNAcentral